Molecule: long non-coding RNA, 701 nt
Filed under: Ursus maritimus (polar bear)
Lineage: Eukaryota; Metazoa; Chordata; Mammalia; Carnivora; Ursidae
Description: lncRNA (ENSUMAG00000011171.1)
Source: RNAcentral
CCCAUUUUGUCAUUCACAGGACAGUGAACCUCUCCAAGCGCAGGUCGGAAUUGUUCCGGAGGCCACAGAGAGGAGCCCAGCAGGACAGGGCCUGGGUGCUGGAGUUGACUAUCCUCAGCCACUGGCUGAGCCCCAAGGAUGCCCUGCUUACCUGUUCUCACAUGCAGAAUCUGGCCAGGUAUUCCUGCCAUGCUGUCCCAUUCACUGAAUUGCACCCCUGCUGUGUUGAUGUCCCUCUAGACCCAAGGCUUCCCUAUUAUUUGGAACAUUUUGAUUUGAACUACAGGCCACCCAAGGCAAGAGACACUGCCCUCUUGGGGAAGCAACUGUGCCAGGGACGGAAUGGCUGUUUGGGGAUGAGGUUUCUCCUACGACUGUGCUGAUCCAAGAAAGAAACUUGAAGAAUGGGAGUGGGGCAACGAGCUCUGUGUUCCUGCUUUCUGGCACAUGCAAGGACCAGGAGUUGGGUUCUUCCUUCCCCGUUGUCCCUGCUCCUUGGGCUGUUCCUGCCACCAUCCAAGCAAAAGGCUCCGCAAGUCUCCUACUGUGAUGGCCCUGAGGACUUUGUCUUCAGCAAUAAUCCUGUUUCCUUUCCUCAGGUGGGGUGGUCAGGGAGAAAGCAGGUCAGAAACAGUUCUGGAGAUGAAGAGCAACACGCCUCACACCAGCCCCAGAAGUGCCAAUUGCAAGUAACAGCUUGC